This 399-nucleotide unclassified non-coding RNA is filed under the name Hevea brasiliensis (rubber tree). The record is from RNAcentral. Lineage: Eukaryota; Viridiplantae; Streptophyta; Magnoliopsida; Malpighiales; Euphorbiaceae.
UCCAAUGAAUACACCUGCAAAAUUCUUAAAUAUCAAGAACCCAUUUUGACAAUAAUGAAUGGGUGAUCUCAUUUCUUUCACUUGGUGCUUUGAAGUUUGAUGUUAACAUAUCAAACUAUGGUUCAAGAGUAACUUAUAACAUAGUAGAUGUGCCAACCAACUGCAUAAGAUAUAAGGAACAUAUGACUAAAAAUUGAGCGGGGCACAUAUGAAUGGGAACCAAUUUAGUAAUGGAUUCAGCCACUGAAUCAGGAUCUUUCAUCUAAUCUAGAAGCUGAUGACUCUCUUCGCAUGUGAGGUUGCAUAGAAUCAUUUCUAUAUACGAUUUCAGUUGAGAGUUGAUUGCCAAGAAAAUGUGAUAGUGAAGUGAGUGCACGAGAAAGAGAGAGAGAGAGAGAG